Molecule: ribosomal RNA, 116 nt
Filed under: Chelidonium majus
Lineage: Eukaryota; Viridiplantae; Streptophyta; Magnoliopsida; Ranunculales; Papaveraceae
Description: partial 26S ribosomal RNA
Rfam family: Eukaryotic large subunit ribosomal RNA
Source: RNAcentral
UGCGACCCCAGGUCAGGCGGGACCACCCGCUGAAUUUAAGCAUAUCAAUAAGCGGAGGAGAAGAAACUUACAAGGAUUCCCCUAGUAACGGCGAGCGAACCGGGAUCAGCCCAGCU